Molecule: ribosomal RNA, 496 nt
Filed under: uncultured bacterium
Lineage: Bacteria
Description: partial 16S ribosomal RNA
Rfam family: Bacterial small subunit ribosomal RNA
Source: RNAcentral
GAUGAACGCUGGCGGCGUGCCUAAUACAUGCAAGUCGAGCGAACGGACGAGAAGCUUGCUUCUCUGAUGUUAGCGGCGGACGGGUGAGUAACACGUGGAUAACCUACCUAUAAGACUGGGAUAACUUCGGGAAACCGGAGCUAAUACCGGAUAAUAUUUUGAACCGCAUGGUUCAAAAGUGAAAGACGGUCUUGCUGUCACUUAUAGAUGGAUCCGCGCUGCAUUAGCUAGUUGGUAAGGUAACGGCUUACCAAGGCAACGAUGCAUAGCCGACCUGAGAGGGUGAUCGGCCACACUGGAACUGAGACACGGCCCAGACUCCUACGGGAGGCAGCAGUAGGGACUCUUCCGCAAUGGGCGAAAGCCUGACGGAGAAACGCCGCGUGAGUGAUGAAGGUCUUCGGAUCGUAAAACUCUGUUAUUAGGGAAGAACAUAUGUGUAAGUAACUGUGCACAUCUUGACGGUACCUAAUCAGAAAGCCACGGCUAACUACGU